Molecule: transfer RNA, 73 nt
Filed under: Candidatus Melainabacteria bacterium
Lineage: Bacteria; Bacillati; Candidatus Melainabacteria
Also listed under: 1 other name
Description: tRNA-Val
Rfam family: tRNA
About the family: Transfer RNA (tRNA) molecules are approximately 80 nucleotides in length.
Source: RNAcentral
GGGCGUUUAGCUCAGUUGGUAGAGCUUCUCGUUUACACCGAGGGGGUCGGGGGUUCGAGUCCCUCAGCGCCCA